RNAcentral lists this long non-coding RNA (2123 nucleotides) under Nicotiana benthamiana. Its description in RNAcentral is "long non-coding RNA (NBEN_LNC042253)". The record is from RNAcentral. Lineage: Eukaryota; Viridiplantae; Streptophyta; Magnoliopsida; Solanales; Solanaceae.
GCACACUGUGGUGAGGCUGAUAUUAUCAAAAUAUGGGUUAAUAUUUGCGUUGAUAAACUCAGCAGAUGGUUGCUCACUUAUGCCUUGUGUACUGCUCAGUAUAUGUCUAAACACACAAGUGUGUUAUAUCUUAGUUGUAGAAUAGGUAGGGAUAUUUAUAUAAAUUUUCAUGUUUCACACAUUUGAGUUAGCUAGCUAGCGAUAGAUUAGUUAUGCCAGUUGUUAAUUGAUGGAGUAGUACACAUGUAUAUAAAUAGGAACUUGUACAGAUACAAUUUCAGUUUUGGAAAAGAAUACAAUUUCUCAUUUUGCAAUAUUUCUCUCUCUAAUUUUCACAUGGUAUCAGAGCACAUGCUCUUUUUGUCCAGAUUCUUCUAGAGUUUUCCAUACUACUCAAGGUUCUUUGUCACUUUUCCAAACCUCAGCACUUCGAUCAUGGUUCUGGGGGAAGAUAUUUCAGAUUCUGGACUUUCUGCUUCUGCUACAAUGGAGAAGAUCAAUAAUCUUCACCCAUAUUAUCUUCAUGCUUCAGAUUCACCAGGUAUGGCAUUGGUUUUCAGUGCUUUUGAUGGAACUAGAUAUGGCUCAUGGAGAAAAUCUGCAUUAGUGUCACUAUCUACUAAGAAUAAGCUUGGUUUCAUUGAUGAAACUUUGCCAAAACCAAAAUAGAAUUCUACUUUUGUUAGCCUUUGGACUCGUUUGUAAUGACAUGAUUUUUGCUUGGCUGCUGAAUUCACUUAUAAAAGAAAUCAGAUCCAGUGUGAUCCACUCUAAAUAUGCACAUGAAUUAUGGAAAAAACUUGAGAAGAGAUAUGGACAAUUGAAUCUGGCACAACUAUCUAAAUUACAUAAAAAAAUUAGUAGAAACUGUGCAAGGAUCAAAUAACAUUGCAACCUAUUUCAAUAAUAUGAAAGCAAUUUGGGAUGAAAUUGAGCUACUUGAUGAUAGGGUUGUAUGCAGCUGUGCAGAGUAUAAAUAUGGUGCAUCGGAGAAAAACAAUGCACUUGAAGAGAGACACAAGUUAGUUCAAUUUCUAAUGGGACUGAAUGAAUCAUACACUGCUUGUAGAGGAAAUAUAAUGAUGAUGAAUCAUUCACCAAAUAGUGAUAGAGCUUACUUUCUUCUAUUACAAGAGGAAAAGCAGAGAAGCAUACAACCUUUGGGAAAUUAUCCUAAAUAUUCAAGCUCUGUUACUAUUAUUGGGCAGAAUGCUAGUCAAGGACAUUAUAGGUUUAACAAUAAUCAAGGAAGCACAACCAAUGGACUAAAAAUAAUCAGAUUCAACAUCAGGAUUAUAAGAAGAAUAAUUCUACCAAUCUCAUUUGCUGAUAUUGUAAGAAGCCAUGACAUACCAUUGAGAAGUGUUACAAGAUUCAUGGCCAUGCCCUCAAUUUUAAAAAUAGCAGACCUAGAUCUUUUAACAAUCAUGCACACAACAAUGCAACUAGUACUCAGGAAGAUACUCAGUCACAAGCUAGUGAUGUUAGUAUAGGUAUUAAGCAUGAACAACUCACUCAGCUAAUGAAGUUACUACAACAAGUUAAAUUUGGACAGUAGGGACCUUCCAGUUUCGAAGCCAAUGCAGCAGCUAAUGUGCUGGUAUACACUCCCCUUCUCUUCCACUCAUCACAUAUAAAACACAUUUUUAGAUCCUAGAUAUUGGAGCCUUAGAACACAUCAAAAGCAUGACUUUUGAUGCAUCCAUUGUACUUAAUGUUGAACCUCUACCACAUCUUCUCUAUGUUAAUCUACCUAACUCUUACAGGAUCAAAGUCACACAUGCAGGAAAAUUUCCUAUUCAGCCAAAAUUAACUCUAAAUAAAGAUUUACUAGUUUCAAGUUUCAAAUUCAAUCUAAUCUCAAUAUAGAAAUUUUUUUUACUGUUCAAUAGCCUUUUCAUGUUUGGUGCCAUUUCAUGUGUGUUACAGGGCCUUUCCUUUAAGAGGCCUCUGGCUCCUGGUAGAGUGAAGAAUGGACUCUACCUUAUUCAAUCCUUCCAUCCUCAUGCUGAUUCUUUGCACCAAAGCAAACCAUUGUUAACCAUUUCGAAUAAUUGUACUCAGUUCAUUGUUAAUUCUUUGUCUAGUUGUUCUACUAAUGUUUAUAAUUCUGCUGACUCUUG